Molecule: microRNA precursor, 90 nt
Organism: Aotus nancymaae (Ma's night monkey)
Lineage: Eukaryota; Metazoa; Chordata; Mammalia; Primates; Aotidae
Source: Ensembl
UGUAUUGGGUUGGUGCAAAAGUGAUUGUGGUUUUUGCCAUUCAAAAGUAAUGGCAAAAGUUGUAAUUGUUUUUGCACCAAUCUAAUAAAU